This 411-nucleotide ribosomal RNA is filed under the name uncultured bacterium. Its description in RNAcentral is "partial 16S ribosomal RNA". It matches the Rfam family "Bacterial small subunit ribosomal RNA", at positions 355 to 774 of the family's 1533-position model. The record is from RNAcentral.
UACGGAAUCCUGGACAAUGCACGGCAGUGUGAUCUGGUAAUAUUUCUCAAGUGAAGAAUGUCUAGCAGACUGUAAAGCUUUUUUAUUCAUGCAAAAUUAUGACACGAGUGUGAAAGAAAAAGUCCUGGCCAACUCUGUGCCAGCAGCCGCGGUAAGACAGGGGGGGCAAGCGUUACUCGUCAUGACUGGGCGUAAAGGGUGAGUAGGCAGUUAGGGAGUUUAAUAAACAGUAAAACCUGGGGUAGAUCUCAGAAAUUGUUUUUAUUCAUUGACUGGACUUGAGUUUUUUGUGGAGCUGUUAGAAUUUUUAAUGGAGUAGUAAAAUGCGAAGAUAUUAAAAGGAAUGCCAAGAGUGAAGACAUGCAGCUACGAUAAACUGACGCCGAGGCACGAAAGCGUAGGUAGCAAACG